RNAcentral lists this long non-coding RNA (243 nucleotides) under Populus trichocarpa (black cottonwood). Its description in RNAcentral is "long non-coding RNA (PTRI_LNC002802)". The record is from RNAcentral. Lineage: Eukaryota; Viridiplantae; Streptophyta; Magnoliopsida; Malpighiales; Salicaceae.
CCUAGAGGAUGGUUUUCUCAUCCAGCUUACAACACUAGAAGAAUCAGACUCAACAAUAAUUUUCUUGUUGGACAAAUCACCUCUCAAAGAUGAUAAUUCUAAUGCCUUUGCCACCGCUAUCAACUCUGCUUCAUUGGAGUCUUUGAUCCCAACUGAAAUAGAAAACACACCCAUAACCAAUCCCAUGUGGUCGCGUAAGACUCCACCUGUACGUGUUGGACCAGGUUUUCCAGAAAAGGAACC